GGGGAGCGUUCUGUAAGCCUGCGAAGGUGGCCUGUGAGGGUUGCUGGAGGUAUCAGAAGUGCGAAUGCUGACAUAAGUAACGAUAAAGCGGGUGAAAAGCCCGCUCGCCGGAAGACCAAGGGUUCCUGUCCAACGUUAAUCGGGGCAGGGUGAGUCGACCCCUAAGGCGAGGCCGAAAGGCGUAGUCGAUGGGAAACGGGUUAAUAUUCCCGUACUUGGUGUUACUGCGAAGGGGGGACGGAGAAGGCUAUGUUGGCCGGGCGACGGUUGUCCCGGUUUAAGCGUGUAGGCUGGUUUUCCAGGCAAAUCCGGAAAAUCAAGGCUGAGGCGUGAUGACGAGGCACUACGGUGCUGAAGCAACAAAUGCCCUGCUUCCAGGAAAAGCCUCUAAGCAUCAGGUAACAUCAA
RNAcentral lists this ribosomal RNA (408 nucleotides) under Salmonella enterica subsp. enterica. Its description in RNAcentral is "bacterial LSU rRNA". It matches the Rfam family "Bacterial large subunit ribosomal RNA", at positions 1231 to 1640 of the family's 2925-position model. Lineage: Bacteria; Pseudomonadati; Pseudomonadota; Gammaproteobacteria; Enterobacterales; Enterobacteriaceae. The record is from RNAcentral.